RNAcentral lists this ribosomal RNA (594 nucleotides) under uncultured bacterium. RNAcentral describes it as "bacterial SSU rRNA". It matches the Rfam family "Bacterial small subunit ribosomal RNA", at positions 30 to 653 of the family's 1533-position model. The record is from RNAcentral.
CUAACACGCUGGCGGCGUGCCUAACACAUGCAAGUCGAACGAGAAAGUGGAGCAAUCCAUGAAGUAAAGUGGCGACCGGGUGAGUAACACGUGACUAACCUACCUCCGAGUGGGGAAUAACUCCGGGAAACCGGGGCUAAUACCGCAUAACAUCGCGAGAUCAAAGCAGCAAUGCGCUUGGAGAGGGGGUCGCGGCUGAUUAGCUAGUUGGCGGGGUAACGGCCCACCAAGGCGAAGAUCGGUAUCCGGCCUGAGAGGGCGCACGGACGCACUGGAACUGAAACACGGUCCAGACUCCUACGGGAGGCAGCAGUGGGGAAUUUUGCGCAAUGGGGGAAACCCUGACGCAGCAACGCCGCGUGGAGGAUGAAGCCCUUUGGGGCGUAAACUCCUUUCGACCAAGACGAUAAUGACGGUACUGGUGGAAGAAGCACCGGCUAACUCUGUGCCAGCAGCCGCGGUAAUACAGAGGGUGCAAGCGUUGUUCGGAAUUAUUGGGCGUAAAGGGCGCGUAGGCGGUGCCACAAGUCACCUGUGAAAUCUCCGGGCUUAACUCGGAGCCUGCAGGCGAAACUGUGGUGCUGGAGUGUGGGA